AAGGAUUUAUAGAGCGUGAUAAACAGCACUCCACCCGUCGUCUGCUCCCAUGCAGCCACUUGCGUGACAGGGUUUUCGGUUGAAAGUCCACACAAACAAAUUUCUCAACAGAUUUUUAUUUUAAUUUUUUUGCUAAUUUAACAACGAAGGCGAUUUCUGCUUUCUAUCCGAUAAAAUCUAAUACUUAAAUUUGGGUUGCUUAUUUUUAGGCAUGGCUGACACUGCAUGGCAUAGAUCGUUCACAUGGCCGUUUCAAGAAACUACGACUUUUUAAUGGUCGAAUUUCGACGUCGUGACCAGUUGGAAAGUAAUAAACCAAGUUAAUAUUUGCUAUCGUUUUCCCAUCGAGCUGUCCUGCCAUCUAGCGGCAGACGAUACAAACGACCUAACAGACUACACAGAUCCGCACCGAAAGUCAAAAUUAUCUACCCGAUCGCCAAAAAAGCUACCCGAUCGGCGCGGGGCCGAGCCCUAAACACAGGAUUAAUUAUUUUUUUGUUGUAAAUUUAUUAUAACGCACGUAAUAAAUACAUAAUUAACCACAAA
Daphnia magna is the source of this 546-nucleotide long non-coding RNA. RefSeq lists it as uncharacterized. The record is from RefSeq and is a predicted model, not a curated record. The transcript is spliced from 2 exons. Lineage: Eukaryota; Metazoa; Arthropoda; Branchiopoda; Diplostraca; Daphniidae.